GGAAAAGAUGCGGGUGACUCUGCUUGUCAGAUUGCUGCUGAGUUUACUUGAAUUACCAUCACUCAACUGAUAUAGACAAACACUGGCUGGAUACAGAAGUAAACUGGCCAGCAUCUACCAAUAAAGGAGUUGCAGGACGGAACAUGUGUAAACUAAUGGCUGUCACUGAGAAGAACAAUACCGACUCAAUUUGGAUCUGUGCAUCUUAAAGGGAUAGUUCACCCAAACCUUUGUCAUUGUUUACUCACCCUCAUGUCAUUCCAAACCUGUAUGAUUUUCUUUCUUCUGUUGAACACAAAAGAAGUUAUUUUGAAGAAUGUUGGUAAACAGACAGCAAUUGACUUCUAUAGUAUGGAAAUAAAAAAAUACGUUGGCUACU
Molecule: long non-coding RNA, 379 nt
Organism: Labeo rohita (rohu)
Lineage: Eukaryota; Metazoa; Chordata; Actinopteri; Cypriniformes; Cyprinidae
Exons: 3
Source: RefSeq, a predicted model, not a curated record